AGUUGUGAUACCUCAUUUUUAUAAUAUUUUUUAUUUUAUUUUUUGUAAAAUAUUUUAAUUUAUUUUUAUUUUUUUUGUUUUUUGAGGUAUUAAAAAUUUGUUUUUUGAACUGGAUUAGUACCUUUGCAGGUAAUCAAAAUUUAUUAAUUCGGGAGUAAAGUUUUAUUUAAACCGAAAAAAUAUUGACUGACUUUAGAUUUUUCUUUGGAACAUGUGUUUUUAUUGGAGAGCCCUCUUUUUUAGUGAGUUUUAUUGACACAUGUAUGAUUGUUUAGUUUUUAUUUUAUUUUGUAAUGCUUUUUUUGUUUUGGCAUUAAAAACAGAUAUAUAUUUGGUUUAUAAAUUUAUUAUUCAUGUGUUACUAUUAUAAAUUUUUUUUGGAUUAAUUUUUUAUUUUAUUUUUGAAAUUGGAAAAGAAAGUAAUUUUUUCUUAAUGUUUUAAGAAUUAA
This 449-nucleotide ribosomal RNA is filed under the name Loxodontofilaria caprini. RNAcentral's name for it is "partial 12S ribosomal RNA". Lineage: Eukaryota; Metazoa; Nematoda; Chromadorea; Rhabditida; Onchocercidae. The record is from RNAcentral.